RNAcentral lists this ribosomal RNA (555 nucleotides) under Vibrio harveyi. RNAcentral's name for it is "bacterial SSU rRNA". It matches the Rfam family "Bacterial small subunit ribosomal RNA", at positions 240 to 787 of the family's 1533-position model. Lineage: Bacteria; Pseudomonadati; Pseudomonadota; Gammaproteobacteria; Vibrionales; Vibrionaceae. The record is from RNAcentral.
AUUAGCUAGUUGGUGAGGUAAUGGCUCACCAAGGCGACGAUCCCUAGCUGGUCUGAGAGGAUGAUCAGCCACACUGGAACUGAGACACGGUCCAGACUCCUACGGGAGGCAGCAGUGGGGAAUAUUGCACAAUGGGCGCAAGCCUGAUGCAGCCAUGCCGCGUGUGUGAAGAAGGCCUUCGGGUUGUAAAGCACUUUCAGUCGUGAGGAAGGUGGUUUUGUUAAUAGCUCAUAUAUUUGACGUUAGCGACAGAAGAAGCACCGGCUAACUCCGUGCCAGCAGCCGCGGUAAUACGGAGGGUGCGAGCGUUAAUCGGAAUUACUGGGCGUAAAGCGCAUGCAGGUGGUUUGUUAAGUCAGAUGUGAAAGCCCGGGGCUCAACCUCGGAAUAGCAUUUGAAACUGGCAGACUAGAGUACUGUAGAGGGGGGUAGAAUUUCAGGUGUAGCGGUGAAAUGCGUAGAGAUCUGAAGGAAUACCGGUGGCGAAGGCGGCCCCCUGGACAGAUACUGACACUCAGAUGCGAAAGCGUGGGGAGCAAACAGGAUUAGAUACCC